RNAcentral lists this ribosomal RNA (439 nucleotides) under uncultured bacterium. RNAcentral describes it as "partial 16S ribosomal RNA". It matches the Rfam family "Bacterial small subunit ribosomal RNA", at positions 338 to 795 of the family's 1533-position model. The record is from RNAcentral.
CCUACGGGUGGCUGCAGUGGGGAAUAUUGCACAAUGGGGGAAACCCUGAUGCAGCGACGCCGCGUGAGGGAAGAAGUCUCUCGGUACGUAAAGCUCUAUCAGCAGGGAAGAAAAUGACGGUACCUGACUAAGACGCCCCGGCUAACUACGUGCCAGCCGCCGCGGUCAGACGUAGGGGGCGAGCGUUAUCCGGAUUUAUUGGGUUUAAAGGGUGCGCAGGGGGAAGAUCAAGUCAGCGGUAAAGUUGAGAGGCUCAACGUCUUCGAGCCGUUGAAACUGGUUUUCUUGAGUGAGCGAGAAGUAGGCGGAAUGCGUGGUGUAGCGGUGAAAUGCAUAGAUAUCACGCAGAACUCCGAUUGCGAAGGCAGCAUACCGGCGCGCAACUGACGCUGAUGCACGAAAGUGUGGGUAUCGAACAGGAUUAGAUACCCUUGUAGUC